This 484-nucleotide ribosomal RNA is filed under the name uncultured bacterium. RNAcentral's name for it is "partial 16S ribosomal RNA". It matches the Rfam family "Bacterial small subunit ribosomal RNA", at positions 28 to 523 of the family's 1533-position model. The record is from RNAcentral.
GACGAACGCUGGCGGCGUGCUUAACACAUGCAAGUCGAACGAUGAAGCCGGAGCUUGCUCUGGUGAAUUAGUGGCGAACGAGUGAGUAACACGUGAGUAACCUGCCCUUGACUCUGGGAUAACUGCGGGAAACUGUAGCUAAUACCGGAUACGACCCUCGGAGGCAUCUCCUGGGGGUGGAAAGAAUUUCGGUCAAGGAUGGACUCGCGGCCUAUCAGCUAGUUGGUGAGGUAAAGGCUCACCAAGGCGACGACGGGUAGCCGGCCUGAGAGGGGGACAGGCCACACUGGGACUGAGACACGGCCCAGACUCCUACGGGAGGCAGCAGUGGGGAAUAUUGCACAAUGGGCGCAAGCCUGAUGCAGCAACGCCGCGUGAGGGAUGACGGCCUUCGGGUUGUAAACCUCUUUUAGCAGGGAAGAAGCGAAAGUGACGGUACCUGCAGAAAAAGCACCGGCUAACUACGUGCCAGCCGCCGCCGUAA